UCUGCACUGACAGUGGAUCAACUCAUUCAACAUAUUAAGACUAGUGCGGUAGAGGAUGUACAAGCAGAGGUGGGUGAGUUUAUUCGUCGGACUCCUCAGGCUGACCUCCAGCUGGCAGCAGGCAGGGUGGCAUUAGAGCUAGUUUGAAGAUCCCAGACAGAUGCCAACUUCUACCCUCAGUGUGCAUUUCUACUGCUGCUGGAGACUCGGUACCUCUGCUAGAGUGUGUGCCCUGAACUACUCUCAUUGGCCAUAGUGAAGAAAGAUUUCCAUCUCUGUCAGAUUGCUUUCCAAAUAUUUUCUGACAUUCCUGAAGCUGUCACCUGCGCUUGUCUCAAAAUUAUUCUCAGGUGAGUUUUGUGCUGACAUUAAGACAUUUACACCCUUAAUAACUGAGCCAUAAUACUGUAUUUUCCAGAAUGUCAGGUUUUUCUUAAUUAGAAAAUAUG
Sinocyclocheilus grahami is the source of this 449-nucleotide long non-coding RNA. RefSeq lists it as uncharacterized. The record is from RefSeq and is a predicted model, not a curated record. The transcript has 3 exons. Lineage: Eukaryota; Metazoa; Chordata; Actinopteri; Cypriniformes; Cyprinidae.